GUGGAUUCAACCUGCUGAACACAUAUACUAAAAUUGGAACGAUACAGAGAAGAUUAGGGUGGCCACUGUACAAGGAUGACAUGCAAAUUCCAAGAUCACACACUUACAUAU
Molecule: small nuclear RNA, 111 nt
Organism: Loxodonta africana (African savanna elephant)
Lineage: Eukaryota; Metazoa; Chordata; Mammalia; Proboscidea; Elephantidae
Source: Ensembl